AAGAAACGGUUCCCGUAAGAUCACCGGUUAAGCAACAUUGAGCCUAGUCAGUACCUAGAUGGGUCACCGCUUGGGAAUACCAGGUGC
Non-coding RNA from Acanthosepion pharaonis, 87 nucleotides. The record is from the annotation of a GenBank genome assembly. NCBI's taxonomy places the organism in Eukaryota, Metazoa, Mollusca, Cephalopoda, Sepiida, Sepiidae.